AGCGACACUGCUUUUUGAUCCUUCGAUGUCGGCUCUUCCUUCCAUUGCGCCGCAGCAGUCCCAAAGUGUCGGAUGGUUCACCCUCCACGAGGGCGUGUGAGCUGGGCCUAGACCGUCGCGACAGUAUUCGAAGUUUGCGCGAGAGGAGCACUUCGCUCAUAUACUUGGUAAAUGUGGCUAACUGAGAAGCUAAUACUGCGGAACUACCAUCUGUUG
Molecule: ribosomal RNA, 216 nt
Filed under: Gymnodinium catenatum
Lineage: Eukaryota; Dinophyceae; Gymnodiniales; Gymnodiniaceae
Description: partial Eukaryotic large subunit ribosomal RNA
Rfam family: Eukaryotic large subunit ribosomal RNA
Source: RNAcentral